GAGUUUGAUCCUGGCUCAGAAUGAACGCUGGCGGCAUGCCUAACACAUGCAAGUCGAACGAAGGCUUCGGCCUUAGUGGCGCACGGGUGCGUAACGCGUGGGAAUCUGGCCCUCAGGUUCGGAAUAACAGCGAGAAAUUGCUGCUAAUACCGGAUGAUAUCGCGAGAUCAAAGAUUUAUCGCCUGAGGAUGAGCCCGCGUAGGAUUAGCUAGUUGGUGUGGUAAAGGCGCACCAAGGCGACGAUCCUUAGCUGGUCUGAGAGGAUGAUCAGCCACACUGGGACUGAGACACGGCCCAACUCCUACGGGAGGCAGCAGUGGGGAAUAUUGGACAAUGGGCGAAAGCCUGAUCCAGCAAUGCCGCGUGAGUGAUGAAGGCCUUAGGGUUGUAAAGCUCUUUUACCCGGGAUGAUAAUGACAGUACCGGGAGAAUAAGCUCCGGCUAACUCCGUGCCAGCAGCCGCGGUAAUACGGAGGGAGCUAGCGUUAUUCGGAAUUACUGGGCGUAAAGCGCACGUAGGCGGCUUUGUAAGUUAGAGGUGAAAGCCUGGAGCUCAACUCCAGAAUUGCCUUUAAGACUGAUCGCUUGAAUCCAGGAGAGGUGAGUGGAAUUCCCGAGGUGUAAGGUGAAAUUCGUAGAUUUUCGGAAGAAACACCAGUGGGAAGGGGGGUCCCCUGGGACUGGUUUUGACGCUGAGUGCGAAAGGUGGGGGGCCAACCGGUUUAUACCCGGGUUCC
This 737-nucleotide ribosomal RNA is filed under the name uncultured bacterium. RNAcentral's name for it is "bacterial SSU rRNA". It matches the Rfam family "Bacterial small subunit ribosomal RNA", at positions 9 to 796 of the family's 1533-position model. The record is from RNAcentral.